This 912-nucleotide long non-coding RNA is filed under the name Vulpes vulpes (red fox). RNAcentral describes it as "lncRNA (ENSVVUG00000020945.1)". The record is from RNAcentral. Lineage: Eukaryota; Metazoa; Chordata; Mammalia; Carnivora; Canidae.
CGUUAAAAUCAGAAGACCAUUUAUAGAAUAAGGGACAGAUAAUUGCCCUUUUAAGAUGAUGUAUAUAGAAGACCCUUAGCAUUUGAAGAAUUAAAUUUGUGACUGCUGUGCAUUUAGACUGUGACCUCAUGAUCUAUGAUCUUUUAUCUGUUGAGACCUAAAUUUGAACCUUGAGUACUUCCAGCCUGGCACAUAGAAACAAGUGUCUUAGCUCUAAGUGACUACUAUGUAUCAUCUACUCAAUUGUGCUUGGCUGUUUUACUACACUAGUUAGGUUAAUGCUCCCCAAUGAUUAAAAACCAUAUUUUCUUUUCCAGGGAGAAAAAAAAGGCAAGUUUCAACUAGAAAGCUUAUUCUUGGGUGUGAGGGAUGGAAGCCAGCUCAGAAAGUUACGGCAUUUUUGAAUAUGAAUGUUCAUCAGAGUUCUAGGAAACAGCUAUUAUAAAUAGAAAUGUCUGCACCAUUUACUGAGACCUCUGCACUUAGUACUGAGUGGAGGAGAAGAGGCCACACCAAGGAAGCUUAAGUUCAGAGAAACUUGGCCUAAGCAUACAUGAAGAGGUUUGAGCUGAAGGAUUUAGCUAUGUCCAGGAAACAUUUGUGCCAGCAGAGAAAAUUUAUACUUAUGAUGCUUCAUCUGAUUUCCUUUAUGAUGGAGAAGUAUCACAGAAUAAGAGUUAACAUAAUGGACUUUGAAUUUGGGCAAACUGGGAAUCAAAAUCUUGCUUCACAACUUAGUGGCUGUGUGCCCUUGGGUAAGUUCUUUGACUUUUCUGAGACUUCACUUUAACCUGAAAAGCAGAAAUGAUAAUACUUAGCUCGGAGGUUUGAAGUUAAAAUAAGAGAUAAUAUGUAUGAAAAACUUGGUCCGUAGCUUAGUACAAAGACAUUCCUCAAUAAGUAGAUGUUCAU